This is a small nuclear RNA of Molossus molossus (Pallas's mastiff bat), 191 nucleotides long. RefSeq annotates it as U2 spliceosomal RNA. The transcript has a single exon. NCBI's taxonomy places the organism in Eukaryota, Metazoa, Chordata, Mammalia, Chiroptera, Molossidae. The record is from RefSeq and is a predicted model, not a curated record.
AUUGCUUCUCGGCCUUUAGGCUAAGAUCAAGUGUAGUAUCUGUUCUUAUCAGUUUAAUAUCUGAUACAUCUUCUACCCGAGGACAUUAUAGUAAAUGUGUUUUUGGAACAGGGAGAUGGACUAGGAGCUUGCUCCAUCCACUCCACCCAUCGACCCGGUAUUGCAGUACCUCUGGGAACGGUGCAAAAACA